AGAAUGAACGUUGGCGGCGUGGAUUAGGCAUGCAAGUCGGACGGGCCGCAAGGCCAGUGGCGUAAGGGUGAGUAAGGCGACGGCAAUCAUCCCCACGGUUGGGUAUAGCCGCGAGAAAUCGCGGGUAAUCCCCAGCGACGCGAGGUGUCGGCAUCGACGCCUCGCCAAAGGCUCGCCGCCGUGGGACGAGCCGUCGUGGUAUUAGGUUGUUGGCGGGGUAACGGCCCACCAAGCCUGCGAUGCCUACCGGGUGUGCGAGCAUGGCCCGGCACACUGGGACUGAGACACUGCCCAGACUCCUACGGGAGGCUGCAGUCGAGAAUCUUCGGCAAUGGGCGCAAGCCUGACCGAGCGACGCCGCGUGGAGGACGAAGGCCUUCGGGUUGUAAACUCCUGUCGAGGGAGGAAGGGCCGCGAAGCCCUUGGCCGCUCCCUGGAGGAAGCACGGGCUAAGUUCGUGCCAGCAGCCGC
RNAcentral lists this ribosomal RNA (471 nucleotides) under uncultured bacterium. Its description in RNAcentral is "SSU rRNA". It matches the Rfam family "Bacterial small subunit ribosomal RNA", at positions 26 to 518 of the family's 1533-position model. The record is from RNAcentral.